This 2929-nucleotide ribosomal RNA is filed under the name Bacillus cereus. Its description in RNAcentral is "23S ribosomal RNA". It matches the Rfam family "Bacterial large subunit ribosomal RNA". Lineage: Bacteria; Bacillati; Bacillota; Bacilli; Caryophanales; Bacillaceae. The record is from RNAcentral.
UUUGGUUAAGUUAGAAAGGGCGCACGGUGGAUGCCUUGACACUAGGAGUCGAUGAAGGACGGGACUAACGCCGAUAUGCUUCGGGGAGCUGUAAGUAAGCUUUGAUCCGAAGAUUUCCGAAUGGGGAAACCCACCAUACGUAAUGGUAUGGUAUCCUUAUCUGAAUACAUAGGGUAAGGAAGACAGACCCAGGGAACUGAAACAUCUAAGUACCUGGAGGAAGAGAAAGCAAAUGCGAUUUCCUGAGUAGCGGCGAGCGAAACGGAACAUAGCCCAAACCAAGAGGCUUGCCUCUUGGGGUUGUAGGACAUUCUAUACGGAGUUACAAAGGAACGAGGUAGACGAAGCGACCUGGAAAGGUCCGUCGUAGAGGGUAACAACCCCGUAGUCGAAACUUCGUUCUCUCUUGAAUGUAUCCUGAGUACGGCGGAACACGUGAAAUUCCGUCGGAAUCUGGGAGGACCAUCUCCCAAGGCUAAAUACUCCCUAGUGAUCGAUAGUGAACCAGUACCGUGAGGGAAAGGUGAAAAGCACCCCGGAAGGGGAGUGAAAGAGAUCCUGAAACCGUGUGCCUACAAAUAGUCAGAGCCCGUUAACGGGUGAUGGCGUGCCUUUUGUAGAAUGAACCGGCGAGUUACGAUCCCGUGCGAGGUUAAGCUGAAGAGGCGGAGCCGCAGCGAAAGCGAGUCUGAAUAGGGCGUUUAGUACGUGGUCGUAGACCCGAAACCAGGUGAUCUACCCAUGUCCAGGGUGAAGUUCAGGUAACACUGAAUGGAGGCCCGAACCCACGCACGUUGAAAAGUGCGGGGAUGAGGUGUGGGUAGCGGAGAAAUUCCAAUCGAACCUGGAGAUAGCUGGUUCUCCCCGAAAUAGCUUUAGGGCUAGCCUUAAGUAUAAGAGUCUUGGAGGUAGAGCACUGAUUGGACUAGGGGUCCUCAUCGGAUUACCGAAUUCAGUCAAACUCCGAAUGCCAAUGACUUAUCCUUAGGAGUCAGACUGCGAGUGAUAAGAUCCGUAGUCAAAAGGGAAACAGCCCAGACCGCCAGCUAAGGUCCCAAAGUGUGUAUUAAGUGGAAAAGGAUGUGGAGUUGCUUAGACAACUAGGAUGUUGGCUUAGAAGCAGCCACCAUUUAAAGAGUGCGUAAUAGCUCACUAGUCGAGUGACUCUGCGCCGAAAAUGUACCGGGGCUAAAUACACCACCGAAGCUGCGGAUUGAUACCAAUGGUAUCAGUGGUAGGGGAGCGUUCUAAGGACAGUGAAGUCAGACCGGAAGGACUGGUGGAGUGCUUAGAAGUGAGAAUGCCGGUAUGAGUAGCGAAAGACGGGUGAGAAUCCCGUCCACCGAAUGCCUAAGGUUUCCUGAGGAAGGCUCGUCCGCUCAGGGUUAGUCAGGACCUAAGCCGAGGCCGACAGGCGUAGGCGAUGGACAACAGGUUGAUAUUCCUGUACCACCUCUUUAUCGUUUGAGCAAUGGAGGGACGCAGAAGGAUAGAAGAAGCGUGCGAUUGGUUGUGCACGUCCAAGCAGUUAGGCUGAUAAGUAGGCAAAUCCGCUUAUCGUGAAGGCUGAGCUGUGAUGGGGAAGCUCCUUAUGGAGCGAAGUCUUUGAUUCCCCGCUGCCAAGAAAAGCUUCUAGCGAGAUAAAAGGUGCCUGUACCGCAAACCGACACAGGUAGGCGAGGAGAGAAUCCUAAGGUGUGCGAGAGAACUCUGGUUAAGGAACUCGGCAAAAUGACCCCGUAACUUCGGGAGAAGGGGUGCUUUCUUAACGGAAAGCCGCAGUGAAUAGGCCCAAGCGACUGUUUAGCAAAAACACAGCUCUCUGCGAAGCCGUAAGGCGAAGUAUAGGGGGUGACACCUGCCCGGUGCUGGAAGGUUAAGGAGAGGGGUUAGCGUAAGCGAAGCUCUGAACUGAAGCCCCAGUAAACGGCGGCCGUAACUAUAACGGUCCUAAGGUAGCGAAAUUCCUUGUCGGGUAAGUUCCGACCCGCACGAAAGGUGUAACGAUUUGGGCACUGUCUCAACCAGAGACUCGGUGAAAUUAUAGUACCUGUGAAGAUGCAGGUUACCCGCGACAGGACGGAAAGACCCCGUGGAGCUUUACUGUAGCCUGAUAUUGAAUUUUGGUACAGUUUGUACAGGAUAGGCGGGAGCCAUUGAAACCGGAGCGCUAGCUUCGGUGGAGGCGCUGGUGGGAUACCGCCCUGACUGUAUUGAAAUUCUAACCUACGGGUCUUAUCGACCCGGGAGACAGUGUCAGGUGGGCAGUUUGACUGGGGCGGUCGCCUCCUAAAGUGUAACGGAGGCGCCCAAAGGUUCCCUCAGAAUGGUUGGAAAUCAUUCGUAGAGUGCAAAGGCAUAAGGGAGCUUGACUGCGAGACCUACAAGUCGAGCAGGGACGAAAGUCGGGCUUAGUGAUCCGGUGGUUCCGCAUGGAAGGGCCAUCGCUCAACGGAUAAAAGCUACCCCGGGGAUAACAGGCUUAUCUCCCCCAAGAGUCCACAUCGACGGGGAGGUUUGGCACCUCGAUGUCGGCUCAUCGCAUCCUGGGGCUGUAGUCGGUCCCAAGGGUUGGGCUGUUCGCCCAUUAAAGCGGUACGCGAGCUGGGUUCAGAACGUCGUGAGACAGUUCGGUCCCUAUCCGUCGUGGGCGUAGGAAAUUUGAGAGGAGCUGUCCUUAGUACGAGAGGACCGGGAUGGACGCACCGCUGGUGUACCAGUUGUUCUGCCAAGGGCAUAGCUGGGUAGCUAUGUGCGGAAGGGAUAAGUGCUGAAAGCAUCUAAGCAUGAAGCCCCCCUCAAGAUGAGAUUUCCCAUAGCGUAAGCUAGUAAGAUCCCUGAAAGAUGAUCAGGUUGAUAGGUUCGAGGUGGAAGCAUGGUGACAUGUGGAGCUGACGAAUACUAAUAGAUCGAGGACUUAACCAUAUAA